CAGUCGCAUCUGUUGGGAUUCAGCCUGGCUUCUGCCUGGUGUAUUUCCUUUCCGAUGGGUCAGCAUCAGUUUCGACCAAGGGAAAAAGACAUUUGGAAUGUGGCUGUCUUCGGGCAGUGUUAUAGCCUUGUGUUGUAUGUCUUGGUUGGGACUGAGGAACGCAGCGCGCCGCAAGGCCGGGUUUUUAACCACGUACGUGCUUAGGAUGUUGGCAUAAUGGCUUUAAGCGACCCGUCUUGAAACACGGACCAAGGAGUCUAACAUAUGUGCGAGUGUUU
This 278-nucleotide ribosomal RNA is filed under the name Diversispora epigaea. It matches the Rfam family "Eukaryotic large subunit ribosomal RNA", at positions 430 to 695 of the family's 3401-position model. Lineage: Eukaryota; Fungi; Glomeromycota; Glomeromycetes; Diversisporales; Diversisporaceae. The record is from RNAcentral.